This 412-nucleotide unclassified non-coding RNA is filed under the name Hevea brasiliensis (rubber tree). The record is from RNAcentral. Lineage: Eukaryota; Viridiplantae; Streptophyta; Magnoliopsida; Malpighiales; Euphorbiaceae.
AGUUUCGGAAGUUGAUGCGGAAACUAAAGCCUUUGUGGAGGAUAUGAAUGAGAAUUGGCACUUAAGAAAGGGGAAGCAGAAAAAUAGCAGUGAGGGCAUAGUUAUGAACGAAAAUGGAAGUUCGCUUUAUAGUUUGGAGAAUAUAAAGAAGGAUUAUAGGUUGAAGAAGCAGAGAGUUCAUGCGGGUUUGUGGUUGAAGGAAAUUGAGAAGAUGGAAGAGGCUAAGCUUGGGGAUUCUAUUGGUGGUAGUGGCAAUGGUGAUGAUAUUGAAAAACUUCUCGAUAGCUGCUCAGAGAUUUUUGAUUCACCUAAUGAUGACUCAAACAAUUCGAACACAACUUCUGAGUUCAAAAACAAACCUGAUGGCUGGGAAACGACUUCAAAAACACAAGAUGGGAAUAUAUGGGAGAUG